This 396-nucleotide ribosomal RNA is filed under the name uncultured bacterium. RNAcentral's name for it is "partial 16S ribosomal RNA". It matches the Rfam family "Bacterial small subunit ribosomal RNA", at positions 338 to 733 of the family's 1533-position model. The record is from RNAcentral.
CCUACGGGAGGCUGCAGUGGGGAAUAUUGCACAAUGGGGGAAACCCUGAUGCAGCGACGCCGCGUGAGUGAAGAAGCGUUUCGGCGCGUAAAGCUCUGUCAGCGGGGAAGAAACACGGUUCGCGAGAGCCGCGGACGGUACCCGACCAAGAAGCCCCGGCUAACUACGUGCCAGCAGCCGCGGUAAUACGUAGGGGGCAAGCGUUAUCCGGAUUCACUGGGUGUAAAGGGAGCGUAGACGGCGAGACAAGUCUGGAGGGAAAGGCCGGGGCCCAACCCCGGGAACGCCCUGGAAACUGCCUGGGGUGAGGACAGGGGAGGGAAGUGGGAAUCCUAGUGGUGCGGGUGAAUGGGGUGGUAGUAGGAGGAACACCAGGGGCGAAGGGGGCUUACUGGA